This 447-nucleotide ribosomal RNA is filed under the name uncultured bacterium. Its description in RNAcentral is "partial 16S ribosomal RNA". It matches the Rfam family "Bacterial small subunit ribosomal RNA", at positions 29 to 523 of the family's 1533-position model. The record is from RNAcentral.
AGCGAACGCUGGCGGCAGGCCUAACGCAUGCAAGUCGAGCGCCCAGCAAUGGGAGCGGCAGACGGGUGAGUAACGCGUGGGGAUGUGCCCAAUGGUGCGGAAUAACCCAGGGAAACUUGGAUUAAUACCGCAUGUGCCCUUCGGGGGAAAGAUUUAUCGCCAUUGGAUCAACCCGCGUCUGAUUAGCUAGUUGGUGAGGUAAAGGCUCACCAAGGCGACGAUCAGUAGCUGGUCUGAGAGGAUGAUCAGCCACACUGGGACUGAGACACGGCCCAGACUCCGACGGGAGGCAGCAGUGGGGAAUAUUGGACAAUGGGCGCAAGCCUGAUCCAGCCAUGCCGCGUGAGUGAUGAAGGCCUUAGGGUUGUAAAGCUCUUUCGCCGGUGAAGAUAAUGACGGUAACCGGAGAAGAAGCCCCGGCUAACUUCGUGCCAGCCGCCGCAGUAA